AUUGCCUCAGUAACGGCGAGUGAAGCGGCAACAGCUCAAAUUUGAAAUCUGGCCCCAGGCCCGAGUUGUAAUUUGCAGAGGAUGCUUUUGACAAGGUGCCUUCCGAGUUCCCUGGAACGGGACGCCAUAGAGGGUGAGAGCCCCGUCUGGUCGGACACCGAGUCUCUGUAAAGCUCCUUCGACGAGUCGAGUAGUUUGGGAAUGCUGCUCUAAAUGGGAGGUAUAUGUCUUCUAAAGCUAAAUACCGGCCAGAGACCGAUAGCGCACAAGUAGAGUGAUCGAAAGAUGAAAAGCACUUUGAAAAGAGAGUUAAACAGCACGUGAAAUUGUUGAAAGGGAAGCGUUUAUGACCAGACUUGGGCCGGUUGAUCAUCCAGCGUUCUCGCUGGUGCACUCUGCCGGUCCAGGCCAGCAUCAGUUUGCCGCGGGGGACAAAGGUUUCGGGAAUGUGGCUCCUCUGGAGUGUUAUAGCCCGUUGCGUAAUACCCUGCGGUGGACUGAGGUCCGCGCUUCUGCAAGGAUGCUGGCGUAAUGGUCAUCAACGACCCGUCUUGAAACACGGACCAAGGAGUCGUCUUCGUAUGCGAGUGUUCGGGUGUAAAACCCCUACGCGUAAUGAAAGUGAACGCAGGUGAGAGCUUCGGCGCAUCAUCGACCGAUCCUGAUGUUCUCGGAUGGAUUUGAGUAAGAGCAUACGGGGCCGGACCCGAAAGAAGGUGAACUAUGCCUGUAUAGGGUGAAGCCAGAGGAAACUCUGGUGGAGGCUCGCAGCGGUUCUGACGUGCAAAUCGAUCGUCAAAUAUGGGCAUGGGGGCGAAAGACUAAU
This 826-nucleotide ribosomal RNA is filed under the name Myxospora sp. 2 LL-2016. RNAcentral's name for it is "eukaryotic LSU rRNA". It matches the Rfam family "Eukaryotic large subunit ribosomal RNA", at positions 74 to 935 of the family's 3401-position model. Lineage: Eukaryota; Fungi; Ascomycota; Sordariomycetes; Hypocreales; Stachybotryaceae. The record is from RNAcentral.